Molecule: ribosomal RNA, 246 nt
Filed under: uncultured bacterium
Lineage: Bacteria
Description: partial 16S ribosomal RNA
Rfam family: Bacterial small subunit ribosomal RNA
Source: RNAcentral
GGGGCAAGCGUUGUCCGGAAUCAUUGGGCGUAAAGCGCGUGUAGGCGGUCCGGUAAGUCCGCUGUGAAAGUCCAGGGCUCAACCCUGGGAUGCCGGUGGAUACUGUCGGGCUAGAGUACGGAAGAGGCGAGUGGAAUUCCCGGUGUAGCGGUGAAAUGCGCAGAUAUCGGGAGGAACACCAAUUGCGAAGGCAGCUCGCUGGGACGUUACUGACGCUGAGACGCGAAAGCGUGGGGAGCAAACAGG